GAUGAACGCUAGCUACAGGCUUAACACAUGCAAGUCGAGGGGCAUCAUGACGAAAGCUUGCUUUUGUUGAUGGCGACCGGCGCACGGGUGAGUAACGCGUAUCCAACCUUCCCCUUAGUAGAGGAUAGCCCGGCGAAAGUCGGAUUAAUACUCUAUGUAGUACGAUGAAGGCAUCUGAGUUGUAUGAAAGGUUUUUCCGGUAUGGGCUGGGGAUGCGUCUGAUUAGGUAGUAGGCGGGGUAACGGCCCACCUAGCCAUCGAUCAGUAGGGGUUCUGAGAGGAAGGUCCCCCACAUUGGUACUGAGACACGGACCAAACUCC
RNAcentral lists this ribosomal RNA (321 nucleotides) under uncultured Prevotella sp. RNAcentral's name for it is "bacterial SSU rRNA". It matches the Rfam family "Bacterial small subunit ribosomal RNA", at positions 28 to 339 of the family's 1533-position model. The record is from RNAcentral. Lineage: Bacteria; Pseudomonadati; Bacteroidota; Bacteroidia; Bacteroidales; Prevotellaceae.